RNAcentral lists this long non-coding RNA (253 nucleotides) under Theobroma cacao (cacao). RNAcentral describes it as "long non-coding RNA (TCAC_LNC004386)". The record is from RNAcentral. Lineage: Eukaryota; Viridiplantae; Streptophyta; Magnoliopsida; Malvales; Malvaceae.
CCACUGCAGUGACCGUUUAAUAUACCACCAGACCCAUAAAAAUUCCAUUAGCAUAAUAUGGCGAAUAAAAUGUAAUUCAGUCUACUGAGACCAAUCCAAAACUGUUCAUAUAUUUCAUGCCAAUCCCAAAAAUUUAGCCAUCAUGCUACCAUAGUGUCAUAAGCCACAAUUUCAAUAACAUAUAAAAUCGUAAAUUCAACACAGUCUCCAUAUACUCAAUUUUCCCAAAACAAUAUUAGAUUUCAAAACCAGU